Trichobilharzia regenti is the source of this 45-nucleotide non-coding RNA. NCBI's taxonomy places the organism in Eukaryota, Metazoa, Platyhelminthes, Trematoda, Strigeidida, Schistosomatidae. The record is from Rfam.
AUCCAGAUGAUUUGUCCCAAAUAGGACGAAAUGCGCAUCCUGGAU